UUUUUUUUUUUUUUUUUUAAAGAUUUAUUUAUUUAUUUAUGAUAGACAGAGAGAGAGAGAGAGGCAGAGACACAGGCAGAGGGAGAAGCAGGCUCCAUGCCGGGAGCCUGACGUGGGACUUGAUCCCGGGACUCCAGGAUCGCGCCCUGGGCCAAAGGCAGGCGCUAAACCGCUGAGCCACCCAGGGAUCCCCAUCCAUUACUUUUUCAAUUAAUGUGUCUGAUCUUGGUUAUUGUAGCUCCAUAUUAUGUCUAAAAAUACUAAUUUUUAAAAGUUAUUUUUUGUGGAAUUAUUUUUUAAUUAAAGAUUUUAUUCAUGAGAGAGACAGGCACAGGGAGGAGAAGCAAGCUCCAUGCAAGGAACCUAAUGCGGAACCGGAUCCUGGAACUCCAGAAUCAUGCCCUGAGCCAAAGGCAUUACGCUCAACCCCUGAGACACCCACGCCUCCCUCUGUGAAAUGUUUUUUCCUCAAAGUUAUUGUUGAAGAGUUUUUGUUUUACUUCAAACUCCAUCUUCUAUGUUUAGAGACUUUUUAAAGUGGAAAUUGUGAGUUUAUGCUCAUGAUUUUAAGAGUAGGAGAUGAGCUCUGAGGGUUUUUCAACUCUGAACUUCACUGUAGGGGCUGUUUGGGGAACCCCUGGUGCCAGUGACUAUGUUUUUCCUCUUGGGAUAGUCCCAUUUCCUCAAGGAAAUCUUGGCCACAUUCCUAUCUUGAGGGUGUAGGGUGUAUUUAUUGGUUCAAGAUGUCAGGCUGGGGUGUGUGUGUGUUUUGGGAGCUGAUGGACCCGUGUGCUCUUACUACAUGUACUAUGCUGUCAACCCCAGUGGCUUCAGUGCUACCAUCAUAUAAUCCACUUCCAGCUGGCUUGGCCUCGCUGUUUUUUUUUUUUUUUCUUAAGAGUUAUUUAUUUAUUCAUGAGAGACACACAGAGGCAGAGACAUGGGCAGAGAGAGGAGGCUCUAUGCAGGGAGCCUGAUGUGGGGGCUCAAUCAGGACUCUAGGAUCAUGCCCUGGGCUGAAGGUAGAUGCUGAGCCACCCAGGCAUCCCAGCACCGCCGGUCUUAACAUGGUAAUGAGGUGAAGGUUCUUUUCAGAGUAAUGUUGGGGGAGGGGAAAGAAAGGAGAGAAAUUUCUUAUCUAGCCUCUCAUGGUGCUGUUCCUCUUCCAUUUUAGUUUUAGAUCGCUGUCUCCUGACCUCCAUCUCUGCUCUAGACUCCCCUUCUCCAGUCUUUAGGUGUUCUUCAGUUAUAUCUAGACUACCUUGAGUUUGAAUUCAAGCUCCAGCAUUACCAGUUGUGUGACCCUAGGCAGUUUACUUAACCUCUCCAUGUUCUCUCACCUGUCAAAUGGGGAGAAGAGGAUCUAUUUCUUAGCAUAGGAUAUCUCAGAACAUGAGGAUUAAAUUGAGUUAAUAGUGCCUGGCACAUGGUGAAUGCUGUACAUGUAGUAGAUUUCAUCAUCUGUCAUCUUCAGGGCUGGAAUUGGGGGAAGGAUCCCAAUACCUUAUGUUAGAAUCUUGGGGAAGAAAUAGAAAUCCCUGUAAUAAGCCAAGGUUUUUUUUUUUUUUUUUUCCUGAGUCCUAGUCCUUAGUUUUUUGGUACAUUAUGAUGAUUAAUCUAUACAAGGCCCUUCUCAUUUCACUUUCACAUUUUAUUCCCACUCCCAUUUACCCCUCUCCAGUGGCAACCAUUCUAGUGCAUUUAAUGUAUAUUGAUGUUUUAUAUGCAUGUAUUUUUAAUUUACUGAAAUGCUGUGGUAUUCUGUUAAAUGUUUUUGUUGUGAUUUCUCAUCAGCAUCUUUUGAAGACUUCAAGCAUAUAGGCCGUUGUUUCUUAGUAUUUAAUAGCCAGCAUUCCCGUAUUUUGCCUAUCCACUUCAGUUUGGUGUGGAAGCGGUUUCUUUGUGGGUUGUAGUGUAUACCUGGCCGGCUGCCUGGAGCAUGCUAUUUGACCCUAGUUAUAGAACUCUCAUGGCAAUUGGAGGUGGUUGUGCUGGAUAUUAAGGAGAAUGGCAUCCCUUUUCAAGGAGUGUGCCCCACAUGAGGUUAUCAUAGGGUUUUUAAGCAGAGGAAGGCCUAUUUGUAGACCUUGCAGGGUAGUCUGCAUCAACUGGUAUGGGUGGAGAUUCAGAAUGACUUGGACAUUAAAGAUUGUCAGUUUCAUCUGGAUCCACAGAGGAGGUUCCACAGGGUCUUAUUCCGUACCAAUCCGUGCACUUUAAUGUGAGCCUGAAUUCAAC
RNAcentral lists this long non-coding RNA (2238 nucleotides) under Canis lupus familiaris (dog). RNAcentral describes it as "lncRNA (ENSCAFG00000051353.1)". The record is from RNAcentral. Lineage: Eukaryota; Metazoa; Chordata; Mammalia; Carnivora; Canidae.